UGAAACUACAGAGACACUACAUAAAACUAUGGAGAAACUAAGGAGAGACUACAUGAAACUAAGGACUACAUGAAACUAAGGAGGCACUACAUGAAACUAAGGAGGCACUACAUGAAACUACAGAGACACUACAUGAAACUACAGAGACACUACAUAAAACUAUGGAGAAACUAAGGAGAGACUACAUGAAACUAAGGAGAGACUACAUGAAACUAAGGAGAGACUACAUGAAACUAAGGAGGCACUACAUUAAACUAAGGAGACACUACAUGAAACUAAGGAGACACUACAUGAAACUAAGGAGACUACAUGAAACUAAGGAGACUACAUGAAACUAAGGAGACUACAUGAAACUAUGGAGACUCUAUGAAACUAAGGAGGCACUACAUUAAACUAAGGAGACUAUGAAACUUAGGAGACUACAUGAAACUAAUGAGAUUACAUGAAACUAAGGAGACACUACAUAAAACUAUGGAGAAACUAAGGAGACACUACAUGAAACUAAGGAGACAACAUGAAACUACAGAGACACUACAUAAAACUACAGAGACACUACAUGAAACUAAGGAGAGACUACAUGAAACUAAGGAGGCACUACAUGAAACUAAGGAGACAACAUGAAACUACAGAGACACUACAUGAAACUGAGGACUAUCACAAGAACAGACACCUGGGCUGGAGCCGAGGCUCAGUGGCCUACUGUGCAGUCUCUCAUCUCUUCUCUCUCUGACUGUGUCUUUCUCUUUCUCAUCCCUCUCUCUCUCUCAGAUGAUGGGAAUAUCGUCCAUGUUAGUGGGGUUGGGAAACCCUUUGGUCCUUGCUGUUUCGAGGGGGAUAUCAUGGGCUGUGGCAUCAUGUUCCCAUGAGACUACAGACUUGGUGAAAAUAACGUCAAUGACACAGGUGCACAUUUUCAAUUCAAAUUAAUAGAUCUUUAUUAUUCGAGAAUGGAGAUUUGUUUACAAUAGAGGAAGUUAAAAGAGUUUCCAAUGUCACUUGUUCCCAUUAAUGAUAUACCAGUUCCUCCCUGAAACCAACAGAUGUGAUGUAGAACAAAAGGACAUAGUGACACUUGCCUAAAUUGAGAUUGAAUGGGAGAUGAGUCAGCCGUCUGGGCCGAAUCUUAAUUUCCGUAGAAUUUUCACUUCGGCUGCAUUUACACAGGAAGCACAAUGAGGAUAUUUUACACAUGCACACAGAGAC
This 1203-nucleotide long non-coding RNA is filed under the name Salmo salar (Atlantic salmon). RNAcentral's name for it is "lncRNA (ENSSSAG00000082381.1)". Lineage: Eukaryota; Metazoa; Chordata; Actinopteri; Salmoniformes; Salmonidae. The record is from RNAcentral.